RNAcentral lists this ribosomal RNA (427 nucleotides) under uncultured Alcaligenaceae bacterium. Its description in RNAcentral is "bacterial SSU rRNA". It matches the Rfam family "Bacterial small subunit ribosomal RNA", at positions 353 to 772 of the family's 1533-position model. Lineage: Bacteria; Pseudomonadati; Pseudomonadota; Betaproteobacteria; Burkholderiales; Alcaligenaceae. The record is from RNAcentral.
AGUGGGGAAUUUUGGACAAUGGGCGCAAGCCUGAUCCAGCCAUGCCGCGUGCGGGAAGAAGGCCUUCGGGUUGUAAACCGCUUUUGGCAGGAACGAAACGGCACCCCCUAAUACGGGGUGUUAAUGACGGUACCUGCAGAAUAAGCACCGGCUAACUACGUGCCAGCAGCCGCGGUAAUACGUAGGGUGCAAGCGUUAAUCGGAAUUACUGGGCGUAAAGCGUGCGCAGGCGGCUAUGCAAGACAGAUGUGAAAUCCCCGGGCUUAACCUGGGAACUGCAUUUGUGACUGCAUGGCUCGAGUUUGUCAGAGGGGGGUGGAAUUCCACGUGUAGCAGUGAAAUGCGUAGAGAUGUGGAGGAACACCGAUGGCGAAGGCAGCCCCCUGGGACAUGACUGACGCUCAUGCACGAAAGCGUGGGGAGCAAA